UGGGGAAUAUUGCACAAUGGGCGCAAGCCUGAUGCAGCCAUGCCGCGUGUAUGAAGAAGGCCUUCGGGUUGUAAAGUACUUUCAGCGAGGAGGAAGGUGUUGUGGUUAAUAACCGCAGCAAUUGACGUUACUCGCAGAAGAAGCACCGGCUAACUCCGUGCCAGCAGCCGCGGUAAUACGGAGGGUGCAAGCGUUAAUCGGAAUUACUGGGCGUAAAGCGCACGCAGCGUCGUGUCAAGUCGGAUGUGAAAUCCCCGGGCUCAACCUGGGAACUGCAUCCGAAACUGGCAGGCUAGAGUCUUGUAGAGGGGGGUAGAAUUCCAGGUGUAGCGGUGAAAUGCGUAGAGAUCUGGAGGAAUACCGGUGGCGAAGGCGGCCCCCUGGACAAAGACUGACGCUCAGGUGCGAAAGCGUGGGGAGCAAACA
RNAcentral lists this ribosomal RNA (426 nucleotides) under uncultured Enterobacteriaceae bacterium. RNAcentral describes it as "bacterial SSU rRNA". It matches the Rfam family "Bacterial small subunit ribosomal RNA", at positions 355 to 774 of the family's 1533-position model. Lineage: Bacteria; Pseudomonadati; Pseudomonadota; Gammaproteobacteria; Enterobacterales; Enterobacteriaceae. The record is from RNAcentral.